This 65-nucleotide transfer RNA is filed under the name Macrobrachium bullatum. Its description in RNAcentral is "tRNA-His". It matches the Rfam family "tRNA". From Rfam's summary of the family: Transfer RNA (tRNA) molecules are approximately 80 nucleotides in length. Their secondary structure includes four short double-helical elements and three loops (D, anti-codon, and T loops). The record is from RNAcentral. Lineage: Eukaryota; Metazoa; Arthropoda; Malacostraca; Decapoda; Palaemonidae.
GCUUAAAUAGUUUAAUCAAAAUGUUGGUUUGUGGAUCCAGAGAUAUAUGAAUGUUAUUUUAGGCA